RNAcentral lists this ribosomal RNA (402 nucleotides) under uncultured bacterium. Its description in RNAcentral is "bacterial SSU rRNA". It matches the Rfam family "Bacterial small subunit ribosomal RNA", at positions 355 to 774 of the family's 1533-position model. The record is from RNAcentral.
UGGGGAAUCUUGCACAAUGGGGGCAACCCUGAUGCAGCGACGCCGCGUGAGCGAUGAAGCCCUUCGGGGCGUAAAGCUCUUUCGACCGGAACGAUAAUGACGGUACCGGGAGGAGAAGCUGCGGCUAACUACGUGCCAGCAGCCGCGGUAAUACGUAGGCAGCAAGCGUUGUUCGGAGUUACUGGGCGUAAAGAGUGCGUAGGCGGUUUUCUAAGUUCGGUGUGAAAUCUCCCGGCUUAACUGGGAGGGUGCGCCGAAGACUGGGAAGCUGGAGUGUGGGAAAGGCAGGCGGAAUUCCUGGUGUAGCGGUGAAAUGCGUAGAUAUCAGGAGGAACACCGGCGGUGUAGACGGCUUGCUAGACCAUAACUGACGCUGAGGCGCGAAAGCGUGGGUAGCAAACA